This is a non-coding RNA of Macaca mulatta (Rhesus monkey), 2145 nucleotides long. Lineage: Eukaryota; Metazoa; Chordata; Mammalia; Primates; Cercopithecidae. The record is from RefSeq and is a predicted model, not a curated record.
UCAUUAUUUCUUCAGCCAGUGGGGUGGGAGGGCUGUACCAAGGGCAGAGUGAUCAAACAUGGAGAGGGAGCUGUGGACACCCACACAUGGGAAUAAAGGAAAAUCUUGAGUUCCAUCAGGGAAAUCCUAGCUAGCCCUGAGAAGUAAAUAAACAGCUUGAUAAACAGGAAGGUAAUAGUAGUCUAAAACAAUAGCUAAGGAAGUUAGAGUCAGGAGAUGUUUGGUUCCCCUCUAGAAACUAAAGAUAACAUCUUAACUUACUAGCUGUGUGACCGUGUGCAAGUCACUUAAUGGUGCCUGGCACACAGGCGUUUAAUGUCCCUGAGCUGUUUUUCAGAAGCCCAGACCUCUCCAAAGGGAUCCGCUGGCUUGUAGACCUCAGGCUGUUUCUCUUGGAGGUGGUGCAGGAGGUUAAAGAAAGCACCUCUGAUGAGCAGAUAGCUGGAGGCUGUUCCCAAGAUCAUGUCUCAGUGAAGAAGUUGGAGUCCAGCAGCCAUCAGAACCAAGCGAGAAGGAACCUGGAUGGGAUUCUAAAAAGGAGAUGCCCGGAACCACCCUCCUUACUUCCAGAAUGACUGCCUUCCUCAAAAGCCAGAGGACCAGAGGCUCAGCAGGUGCGUCAUUAACGUCAGCAGGUGCACAGUCUCCCAGAGGAGCCAGCAGUGGCUGAGGCCAUGCCUAACAUCCCCUCUGCAUGCACCAAAAGAAUUCCUUGAGAGCUGCCCACUUAAGGCCAAGGCAUCAGAAUGCUCGCCUCAAAGACCCACAGAGCCCUCUGAAACCUUCCAAAGUGGGUCUCAUUGUCUCAGGGCAGUCUGGAAAAGAAAUCUCAGAUAGAGGGGAGGAUAUUGCCAAGAGCUAAUGCCACCUUGAGAGGAGUUUGCAGGAGCGGGCUCUACCGGCUUCCCUCCUAUUCCCUACCACCUGGCACAGGAAUUGCAGCCGAUACUUAUGCUUCUCACCUCCUGUGCACAGCCAUAGUCCGUCCAUUCCUGGCGAUAGCGGUCAAAGCCACUGGAGCAUCUGCAGGAGGACCAAAAGGUCAGAGGUGUGAUGGGAUCCACAAGGAAGCCCUCCCCUGUCACUGUUCAGUAACAACUCUCUGCUGAUAGUGAGAAGAGGAGCUAAGGUCCCCAGGCUGAGGUCGUCAGGCACUCCUGUUCCCUCUACUUCCCUGGAAGAUGAAGGUAUUUGUGGCAUCCCUGCCUUCCUUCUGACCCAGCUCCCCAGGACCAAGGCCUCAUCUGCCCAUGUGAGUAGGUGUAGGGGCUAGCAGGACUGCAUGAGCUCCAGUGAUCCUCAAGGUCGUCUUGACUGUGAGCUGCCAUGACACUGCUGAGAAUCCAGGCAAUUCACAUACGUGUUUUCAUCCUGGUUAUUGAGGGGCCUAACCUUGGGAAGGAGAGUGGGGCUAAAGGUAGGCAUCAGCAGAUUUAGUCAACACCUCCCAGGUGAUCAUUCAAGGGCAGAAAUGAUCUUGCCGGAGGCUGGGAGAGAUUUACAACUGGCUGACAAGGGUCUCCAGAGAGGGCAUUGGGCAGCUCAGCUGGGUGGAAGACACCAAGCACCCCUGUAGGGAAAGGAUGGGGGCAUGAUGAUGCACCAGAGAAUGCUCUCCAUGGAUCAUUCCCAACUUUUUGUUCUUUACUCUUUGGUGCUAGGGGAACCCUCCAAGCCCUACUGAAGCCCAGGGACAUCUGCAUAGGAAGAAUAACAUCAUGAACCACCAGUGCCGAGAAGGAACUCUCAGCAGGUUAACUGCACCAGCACCCACUGAAGUUCGGGUAAACAAUCUGAGGCCCCCAAGAGAGUGAAUGAAAGCACAGCUGGUGGGAAGAACACCUGGGAGACCUGAUGGACACACCCCAUCCCCUCAGGGCCCAGAGCCGUGUCCGUGUGCUAGGCAGGCUGCCUAUAAAGGUGAGAACUUCUACACUUGCAGCAGGAUAUUGGAAAGGAGCAAAGGAAUCCUGGAAUUAAUGUUACCCUUAGACUCCAGAGUGGGCCAUGGUGUGGAGGCAUAGGAAAUCAUUGGGACCAGGGGCAGCAGUUCACGCCCGUAAUCCCAACACUUUGGAAGGCCGAGACAGGUGGAUUACCUGAGGUCAGGUGUUUGAGACAAGCCUGGCCAACAUGGCGAAACCC